Molecule: long non-coding RNA, 1932 nt
Organism: Benincasa hispida (wax gourd)
Lineage: Eukaryota; Viridiplantae; Streptophyta; Magnoliopsida; Cucurbitales; Cucurbitaceae
Source: RefSeq, a predicted model, not a curated record
AAUAGUUUAAUUCGAUUUUAUGUGCGUGUGCUUUUUAUCGUGUAUGACCUGUUCUUCAAAAGGUCCUGGACUUCAAUGUUUUUUAGAUAUUAACAGGGAGGAAUAUCGAAUCAAACAAGAAACGAGAAUAAGAUAAAGAGAUGAUGAGCUUGGGAUUGAACAAUUUCAUCAAAAGGAUCUAACCGAAAAGAGGAUGAUAUAGAAGACUUGCAGGUUGAAGCAAAGAUUGGUGAAGUAAGAGAAAGGACUCUGCACGAAUUGGCUAAGCUCGACAUGACACAGCAGUGGAUGUGCAUAGUCUACCCUCCUACCAUUGUGCCUUUUAAGCUAAAAUCGAGCAUGAUGAAUAUGUUGUUUUAGUUCAAUGGACGUAUAGAGGAAGAUCCUCACAAACACUUGAAAGACUUUUAUGUUGUCUAUAACCAGACGGAGUUAUAGAGGAGCAGCUAAACCUUAGGGCAUUCCCAUUUUCUCUGAGGGAGGAUGCCAAGAAUUGGCUAUAUUACUAACCAUCUAGAUCAAUCACUACAUGGCACGAGCUUUAGAAGUUGUUCUUGGAGAAAUACUUUCCUUCUUCGAAGUCAAACGAAAUUAGAAAGGAAAUUUAAGGCAUAACUUAAGACAUUGGGGAGAUUAUAUGACUACUGGGAGAGAUUUAAGCAGCUAUGUGCAUGCUUCCCUUAUUAUCAGAUAUUAGAUCCGCUACUUAUUAAGUACUUCUUUUCUGGACUACCCUUCAAUGAUCGGAGCUCAAUAGAUGCAGCAACUGUCGGUACCCUUGUUGAUAAACCCCAUAUGGAUCCCAAAGAUGGCAGAGAACUCAUAACAGUUCAACAUACAAGAAAAUGAACUCACCCCAUUUGACUCACUUGAGGUAAAAAAAUUACAUUCUCAAUUAUCUGAUCUUACUAUUCUCAUGAAACAGAUGGCCUAAGCUGAAUUGAAGACCUAGAUCCCUGUGGAGAAAGUCCAUUAUGCUUGACAAAGGUAAAAGCGUGAUUUGAACAGUCGCACCUACAACCCUGGAUGGUGAUACCAUCUCAGCUUUCAUUUGGGGAGUCAUGGAAACCACCAGGCGAGAGCAUGUAGCAGCCCUAGCUCACCAUUGGAGGAUGUGGUGAAGUCUUUGGCAGACACUAUACUAACAUUCUAGAAGGAUGUGAUGACCUUACAACAAGAAAUGAAGAAACUUCUGAAGGAAAAUGAUUUUGUUCCAUAAGGAAAGAAGGACGGGUAUGUAACAGUUAGCCAACCAGAUCACUCAGUUGGCCACCACUGUGAACAAGCUUGAUAUUCAAAGUGGUAAACUCAUCGAUCCUAAAGGGAAUGAAGAAAAGGGUAAACCCAUUGAGACCCUUGGAACGGUGACUGUUAGCUCCUUUGAGUUGAGCUCGAAGUUGGGUCAAGAAGAAGGAAAAUCCCUAGUAAUCUCCCAGUCAACCACGACAAUCAUGUUUUGCCUACCUUGUAAAGUAGGAUAAUGGUGAGCAAGUCUUAUUGAAAUGGAUGGAAUGGAGGAGUUGAUCAACUCCAAUCCAGUAUGAUCAGGCAGAAUGCGAUCGAGUAACUAACCUUAAAAAAUUGCGCUUCCUGAAGGCAGACAGACAUCAAAAUUUCAUCGCUUUCCUUUAUUUUCAGUUUUUAGGUUAGCUUCUUAUUUUUUCUUUUUAGCUUAUCUAGAAAUUUUUGUUUGUAGAGCAUCAUUUGAGGUUGACUUCCAAAGCAAGCUCAACUCUUCUUUCAGCGUCCUCCAAAUUCAGAAGAGUUUCUUUAUUCCCCUUUAAUUUGUCCCCCACUUAUUGGUUUUGAUUUGAUACAUUAGAGACAAUGUACGCUCUGAAUGUUGGGGAUGGUUUGGGUAUCGCUUGCUUCAUGUUCAUGUAUAGCUUGGGGUCCUUGAGCUCUGUGCUCGAACAAUGUUUAUGUGCUUGA